RNAcentral lists this unclassified non-coding RNA (303 nucleotides) under uncultured Dothideomycetes. RNAcentral describes it as "sequence contains ITS1". The stretch from base 1 to 105 matches the Rfam family "5.8S ribosomal RNA", at positions 50 to 154 of the family's 154-position model. The record is from RNAcentral. Lineage: Eukaryota; Fungi; Ascomycota; Dothideomycetes.
GAAAUGCGAUAAGUAGUGUGAAUUGCAGAAUUCAGUGAAUCAUCGAAUCUUUGAACGCACAUUGCGCCCCUUGGUAUUCCAUGGGGCAUGCCUGUUCGAGCGUCAUUUGUACCCUCAAGCUUUGCUUGGUGUUGGGUGUUUGUCCUCUCCUUGCGUUUGGACUCGCCUUAAAGUUAUUGGCAGCCAGUGUAUUGGUCUUGGAGCGCAGCACUUUUUGCGUCCUUUGCUAAAGAUCACUAGCAUCCAUUAAGCAUAUUUAUCACUUUUGACCUCGGAUCAGGUAGGGAUACCCGCUGAACUUAA